Molecule: ribosomal RNA, 439 nt
Filed under: uncultured bacterium
Lineage: Bacteria
Description: partial 16S ribosomal RNA
Rfam family: Bacterial small subunit ribosomal RNA
Source: RNAcentral
CCUACGGGAGGCAGCAGUAGGGAAUAUUGCUCAAUGGGGGAAACCCUGAAGCAGCAACGCCGCGUGGAGGAUGAAGGUGUUCGGAGUGUAAACUCCUUUUGUUAGAGAAGAGAAUGACGGUAUCUAACGAAUAAGCACCGGCUAACUCCGUGCCAGCAGCCGCGGUAAUACGGAGGGGGCAAGCGUUACGCGGAAUCACUGGCGUAAAGAGCGCGUAGGCGGGAUAGCAAGUCCGAUGUGAAAUCCUAUGGCUUAACCAUAGAACUGCAUUUGAAACUGUUAUUCUAGAGUAUGGGAGAGGUCGGUGGAAUUCUUGGUGUAGUGGUCAAAUCCGUAGAGAUCACGCGGUAUCCUCAUUGCGACGGCGCCCUGCUAGAACAUAACUGCCGCUGAUGCGCGAAAGCGUGGGGCGCAAACAGGAUUCGCUACCCGAGUAGUC